UACGUAGGGUGCAAGCGUUGUCCGGAAUUAUUGGGCGUAAAGAGCUCGUAGGCGGUUUGUCGCGUCGACUGUGAAAACCUGGGGCUUAACUCUGGGCCUGCAGUCGAUACGGGCAGACUUGAGUCCGGAAGAGGAGAAUGGAAUUCCUGGUGUAGCGGUGAAAUGCGCAGAUAUCAGGAAGAACACCCGUGGCUAAGGCGGUUCUCUAGUACGGUACUGACGCUGAGACGCGAAAGCGUGGGGAGCGAACAGG
RNAcentral lists this ribosomal RNA (253 nucleotides) under uncultured bacterium. RNAcentral's name for it is "partial 16S ribosomal RNA". It matches the Rfam family "Bacterial small subunit ribosomal RNA", at positions 524 to 776 of the family's 1533-position model. The record is from RNAcentral.